This is a long non-coding RNA of Zophobas morio, 266 nucleotides long. RefSeq lists it as uncharacterized. The transcript has 3 exons. The record is from RefSeq and is a predicted model, not a curated record. NCBI's taxonomy places the organism in Eukaryota, Metazoa, Arthropoda, Insecta, Coleoptera, Tenebrionidae.
ACGGAUCUUUAAAAAUUUGGAAUGUUUUAAAUUUUACUCUUCACUAUUCUCUCUCGCAUCCGGAAGGAGUUGUUGUUUCUGUUUGGCAUCCUUCGCUUUCCUUUGUCUUCACCGCGUGUCUGGAUGCCAUUGCACGUUGCUGGGAUGCACGUGGUGGCUGCUGCCUAUUAGAAUUUCACGGACAUUCUGAUGCUAUUUUGGCUUUGAACUAUUCUGACGGCCUUUUAAUGACUUCUUCAGAUGAUCACUCGCUAAAACUUUUCUCU